UUGAAGCGUGCUUCUAAUCGUCCGCAAGGACAAUUACUUUGACUCUGGCCUGAAAUCAGGUAGGACUACCCGCUGAACUUAAGCAUAUCAAUAAGCGGAGGAAAAGAAACUAACAAGGAUUCCCCUAGUAACGGCGAGUGAAGCGGGAAGAGCUCAAAUUUGAAAUCUGGCAGUCUUCGAUUGUCCGAGUUGUAAUCUAUAGAGGCGUUUUCCGUGCCGGACCGUGUCCAAGUCUCCUGGAAAGGAGUAUCAAAGAGGGUGAUAAUCCCGUACUUAACACGACCACCGGUGCUCUGUGAUACGUCUUCUACGAGUCGAGUUGUUUGGGAAUGCAGCUCAAAAUGGGUGGUGAAUUCCAUCUAAAGCUAAAUAUUGGCGAGAGACCGAUAGCGAACAAGUACCGUGAGGGAAAGAUGAAAAGCACUUUGGAAAGAGAGUUAAACAGUACGUGAAAUUGUUGAAAGGGAAACGAUUGAAGUCAGUCGUGUUCUUUGGAUUCAGCCAGUUCUGCUGGUCUACUUCCUUGGAACGGGUCAACAUCAGUUUUGUCCGGUGGAUAAAGGUAGUAGGAAUGUGACUUCUCCGGAAGUGUUAUAGCCUAUUAUCACAUACACUGGGUGAGACUGAGGACUGCAGCUCGCCUUUAUGGCCGGCCUUCGGGCACGUUCGAGCUUAGGAUGUUGACAU
Molecule: ribosomal RNA, 687 nt
Filed under: Trichosporon asahii var. asahii
Lineage: Eukaryota; Fungi; Basidiomycota; Tremellomycetes; Trichosporonales; Trichosporonaceae
Description: LSU rRNA
Rfam family: Eukaryotic large subunit ribosomal RNA
Source: RNAcentral